GACGAACGCUGGCGGCGUGCCUAAUACAUGCAAGUCGAGCGAAGUUUUUCUGGUGCUUGCACUAGAAAAACUUAGCGGCGAACGGGUGAGUAACACGUAAAGAACCUGCCUCAUAGACUGGGACAACUAUUGGAAACGAUAGCUAAUACCGGAUAACAGUAUUUCUCGCAUGAGAGAUAUUUAAAAGUUGGUUAUGCUAACACUAUGAGAUGGCUUUGCGGUGCAUUAGCUAGUUGGUGGGGUAAAGGCCCACCAAGGCAACGAUGCAUAGCCGACCUGAGAGGGUGAUCGGCCACACUGGGACUGAGACACGGCCCAGACUCCUACGGGAGGCAGCAGUAGGGAAUCUUCCGCAAUGGGCGAAAGCCUGACGGAGCAACGCCGCGUGAGUGAAGAAGGAUUUCGGUUCGUAAAGCUCUGUUGUUAGGGAAGAAUGGAUAUGUAGUAACUAUACAUGUAAGAGACGGUACCUAACCAGAAAGCCACGGCUAACUACGUG
This 499-nucleotide ribosomal RNA is filed under the name uncultured bacterium. Its description in RNAcentral is "partial 16S ribosomal RNA". It matches the Rfam family "Bacterial small subunit ribosomal RNA", at positions 28 to 507 of the family's 1533-position model. The record is from RNAcentral.